GGAUUGGGAUAUAUCGGUCGUGCCUUCAGGAGCAUGAAUUGGUGUAUGGUCAAUUCUUACCUUCUGGUGAAUUGGAAUGCUUUCGGGUGUUUUGAUGAACUAGGACAUUUACUUUGAAAAAAUUAGAGUGUUUAAAGCGGGCAUUUUUGCUUGAAUACAUUAGCAUGGAAUAAUAAAAUA
RNAcentral lists this ribosomal RNA (180 nucleotides) under uncultured Glomeromycotina. RNAcentral describes it as "partial small subunit ribosomal RNA". Lineage: Eukaryota; Fungi; Glomeromycota. The record is from RNAcentral.